CGAAGGGUGCAAGCGUUAAUCGGAAUUACUGGGCGUAAAGCGCGCGUAGGUGGUUCAGCAAGUUGGAGGUGAAAUCCCCGGGCUCAACCUGGGAACUGCCUCCAAAACUACUGAGCUAGAGUACGGUAGAGGGUAGUGGAAUUUCCUGUGUAGCGGUGAAAUGCGUAGAUAUAGGAAGGAACACCAGUGGCGAAGGCGACUACCUGGACUGAUACUGACACUGAGGUGCGAAAGCGUGGGGAGCAAACAGGAUU
RNAcentral lists this ribosomal RNA (254 nucleotides) under uncultured bacterium. RNAcentral's name for it is "partial 16S ribosomal RNA". It matches the Rfam family "Bacterial small subunit ribosomal RNA", at positions 526 to 779 of the family's 1533-position model. The record is from RNAcentral.